Molecule: ribosomal RNA, 395 nt
Filed under: uncultured bacterium
Lineage: Bacteria
Description: bacterial SSU rRNA
Rfam family: Bacterial small subunit ribosomal RNA
Source: RNAcentral
AUUGAACGCUGGCGGCAUGCCUUACACAUGCAAGUCGAACGGCAGCGGACCUUCGGGUGCCGGCGAGUGGCGAACGGGUGAGUAAUAUAUCGGAACGUACCUUUCAGUGGGGGAUAACGUAGCGAAAGUUACGCUAAUACCGCAUAUUCUGUGAGCAGGAAAGCAGGGGAUCGCAAGACCUUGCGCUGAUUGAGCGGCCGAUAUCAGAUUAGCUAGUUGGUGAGGUAAAGGCUCACCAAGGCGACGAUCUGUAGCGGGUCUGAGAGGAUGAUCCGCCACACUGGAACUGAGACACAGUCCAGACUCCUACGGGAGGCAGCAGUGGGGAAUUUUGGACAAUGGGCGCAAGCCUGAUCCAGCCAUGCCGCGUGAGUGAAGAAGGCCUCGGUUGUAAG